AACGUGUGAUGACUAACGGUUUCGGUCCCAUAUGACUGCCUGAUUACUUUACAUUGAGAUCAGCUGAUGUU
This is a small nucleolar RNA of Oryzias javanicus (javanese ricefish), 71 nucleotides long. Its record names the gene SNORD73. It matches the Rfam family "Small nucleolar RNA SNORD73". Rfam says of the family: U73 is a member of the C/D class of snoRNA which contain the C (UGAUGA) and D (CUGA) box motifs. U73 is encoded within the introns of ribosomal protein S3a and contains a 12nt region of complementarity to a conserved sequence in 28S ribosomal RNA. The record is from Ensembl. NCBI's taxonomy places the organism in Eukaryota, Metazoa, Chordata, Actinopteri, Beloniformes, Adrianichthyidae.